Molecule: ribosomal RNA, 595 nt
Filed under: Oceanobacillus profundus
Lineage: Bacteria; Bacillati; Bacillota; Bacilli; Caryophanales; Bacillaceae
Description: bacterial SSU rRNA
Rfam family: Bacterial small subunit ribosomal RNA
Source: RNAcentral
UGAUGUUUAUGGAAUGAGCGGCGGACGGGUGAGUAACACGUGGGCAACCUGCCUGUAAGAUCGGGAUAACUCGCGGAAACGUGAGCUAAUACCGGAUAACACUUUUCAUCUCAUGGUGAGAAGAUAAAAGACGGUUUCGGCUGUCACUUACAGAUGGGCCCGCGGCGCAUUAGCUAGUUGGUGAGGUAACGGCUCACCAAGGCGACGAUGCGUAGCCGACCUGAGAGGGUGAUCGGCCACACUGGGACUGAGACACGGCCCAGACUCCUACGGGAGGCAGCAGUAGGGAAUCUUCCGCAAUGGACGAAAGUCUGACGGAGCAACGCCGCGUGAGUGAUGAAGGUUUUCGGAUCGUAAAACUCUGUUGUUAGGGAAGAACAAGUUGGGUAGUAACUGACCCAACCUUGACGGUACCUAACCAGAAAGCCACGGCUAACUACGUGCCAGCAGCCGCGGUAAUACGUAGGUGGCAAGCGUUGUCCGGAAUUAUUGGGCGUAAAGCGCUCGCAGGCGGUCUUUUAAGUCUGAUGUGAAAGCCCACGGCUUAACCGUGGAGGGUCAUUGGAAACUGGAGGACUUGAGUACAGAAGAGGAG